GCGGGGUUCAGCCGGCAUUCGUGCCGGUGUACUUCCCCGCGAGCGGGCCAGCGUCGGUUUGGGCGGUCGGUCAAAGGCCUCUGGAAGGUAACGCCCCCUCGGGGGCGUCUUAUAGCCAGGGGUGCAAUGCGGCCUGCCCGGACCGAGGAACGCGCUUCGGCUCGGACGCUGGCAUAAUGGUCGUAAGCGACCCGUCUUGAAACACGGACCAAGGAGUCUAA
RNAcentral lists this ribosomal RNA (221 nucleotides) under Penicillium brevicompactum. RNAcentral describes it as "partial 28S ribosomal RNA". Lineage: Eukaryota; Fungi; Ascomycota; Eurotiomycetes; Eurotiales; Aspergillaceae. The record is from RNAcentral.